Molecule: long non-coding RNA, 782 nt
Filed under: Mus musculus (house mouse)
Lineage: Eukaryota; Metazoa; Chordata; Mammalia; Rodentia; Muridae
Description: long non-coding RNA chrX:141356177-141356959
Source: RNAcentral
AUGACUGCCAAAGUGUUUGAGUCUAUCAGAAAGUUCGGCCUCGCAUUAGCAGUUGCAGGAGGCUGGUGAACUCUACUUUAUGUAAUGUGAAUGCUUGACACAGAGCUGUCAUCCUUGACUGAUUACGUGGAGUACAGGACAUUGUGGUAGGAGAAGGGACUGACUUUUUCAUCCCUUGGGUACAGAAGCCAAUUAUCUUUGACUGAUGCUCUCGACCACAGAGUGUGCUGGUUGUCACUGGAAGCAGAGUUACAGAAUGUCAACAUCACAGUGCGCAUCCUCUUCUGGCUGGUGGCCUGCCACCUUCCUCAUAUCUACAUCAACAUUGGCGAAGACUAUGAUGAGCGGGUGCUGCCAUCUAUUGCCACAGAGAUCCUUAAGUUCAAUUCGAUACUGGAGAGUUGGUUACCCAACGAGAACUGGUCUCUAGGCAGGUGAGUGAUGACCUCACAGAGUGAGCAGCAACAUUUGGACUCAUCCUGGAUGACAUGCCCCUGACACAUCUGACCUUCGGGAAGGAGUUCACGGAGACAGUAGAAGUCAAACAAGUGGCUGAGCAGAAAGCAGAGAGAGCCAGAUUUGUGAUGGAAAAGGCUGAGCAGCAGCAUAAGGCAGCCAUCAUCUCCCCUGAGGGUGACUCCAAGAAAGCUGAACUGAUUGUCAACUCGCUUGUCACAGCAGGUGUUGGCCUGAUCAAGCUGAGAAGGCUGGAAGCUGCUGAGGACAUUGCAUACCAGCUCUCCCGCAGUCUGCACUCCAUGCUACUCUAGCUUCCCCAGUGA